UACCCCGCUGGAAAUUAAGCAUAUCAAUAAGCGGAGGAAAAGAAACCAACAGGGAUUGCCCUAGUAACGGCGAGUGAAGCGGCAACAGCUCAAAUUUGAAAUCUGGCCUCGGCCCGAGUUGUAAUUUGCAGAGGAUGCUUCUGGCGCGGUGCCUUCCGAGUUCCCUGGAACGGGACGCCACAGAGGGUGAGAGCCCCGUAUGGUCGGACACCAAGCCUGUGUGAAGCUCCUUCGACGAGUCGAGUAGUUUGGGAAUGCUGCUCUAAAUGGGAGGUAAAUCUCUUCUAAAGCUAAAUACCGGCCAGAGACCGAUAGCGCACAAGUAGAGUGAUCGAAAGAUGAAAAGCACCUUGAAAAGGGGGUUAAAUAGUACGUGAAAUUGUUGAAAGGGAAGCACUUGUGACCAGACUUGGGCCGGGCGGCUCAUCAGGGGUUCUCCCCUGUGCACUCCGCCCGGCACAGGCCAGCAUCGGUUCUCGUGGGGGGAUAAGACCGUCAGGAACGUAGCACCCUCCGGGGUGUGUUAUAGCCUGGCGGACGAUACCCCCGUGGGGACCGAGGUUCGCGCUCCGCAAGGAUGCUGGCGUAAUGGUCACCAGUGACCCGUCUUGAACCACGGACCCA
Molecule: ribosomal RNA, 624 nt
Filed under: Phomopsis sp.
Lineage: Eukaryota; Fungi; Ascomycota; Sordariomycetes; Diaporthales; Diaporthaceae
Description: eukaryotic LSU rRNA
Rfam family: Eukaryotic large subunit ribosomal RNA
Source: RNAcentral